RNAcentral lists this ribosomal RNA (698 nucleotides) under uncultured Campylobacterota bacterium. RNAcentral describes it as "bacterial SSU rRNA". It matches the Rfam family "Bacterial small subunit ribosomal RNA", at positions 61 to 776 of the family's 1533-position model. Lineage: Bacteria; Pseudomonadati; Campylobacterota. The record is from RNAcentral.
GUCGAACGGACAAGUAAGAGCUUGCUCUUAUGAGUUAGUGGCGCACGGGUGAGUAAUGUAUAGCUAAUCUGCCCUACACUAGAGGACAACAGUUGGAAACGACUGCUAAUACUCUAUACUCCUCUCUAGCAUAAGUUAGAUAGGGAAAGUUUUUCGGUGUAGGAUGAGGCUAUAUUGUAUCAGCUAGUUGGUGAGGUAAUGGCUCACCAAGGCUAUGACGCAUAACUGGUCUGAGAGGAUGAUCAGUCACACUGGAACUGAGACACGGUCCAGACUCCUACGGGAGGCAGCAGUAGGGAAUAUUGCUCAAUGGGGGAAACCCUGAAGCAGCAACGCCGCGUGGAGGAUGACACUUUUCGGAGCGUAAACUCCUUUUGUUAGGGAAGAACAAUGACGGUACCUAACGAAUAAGCACCGGCUAACUCCGUGCCAGCAGCCGCGGUAAUACGGAGGGUGCAAGCGUUACUCGGAAUCACUGGGCGUAAAGGACGCGUAGGCGGAUUAUCAAGUCUCUUGUGAAAUCCUAUGGCUUAACCAUAGAACUGCUUGGGAAACUGAUAAUCUAGAGUGAGGGAGAGGCAGAUGGAAUUGGUGGUGUAGGGGUAAAAUCCGUAGAGAUCACCAGGAAUACCCAUUGCGAAGGCGAUCUGCUGGAACUCAACUGACGCUAAUGCGUGAAAGCGUGGGGAGCAAACAGG